This 372-nucleotide ribosomal RNA is filed under the name uncultured organism. RNAcentral's name for it is "partial 16S ribosomal RNA". It matches the Rfam family "Bacterial small subunit ribosomal RNA", at positions 526 to 896 of the family's 1533-position model. The record is from RNAcentral.
AGAGGGGUGCGAGCGUUAAUCGGAAUUACUGGGCGUAAAGCGCACGUAGGGUGGAGGAACAAGUCGGGAUGUGAAAUUCCUGGGCUCAACCUGGGCAUGUCAUUCGAAACUGUUUAUCUAGAGUAUAGUAGAGGGAAGUGGAAUUUCCGGUGUAGCGGUGAAAUGCGUAGAUAUCGGAAGGAACACCAGUGGCGAAGGCGGCUUCCUGGACUAAUACUGACACUGAGGAGCGAAAGCGUGGGGAGCAAACAGGAUUAGAUACCCUGGUAGUCCACGCUGUAAACGAUGAGUACUAGCCGUUGGGAUGUUAACCAUUUAGUGGCGAAGCUAACGCAAUAAGUACUCCGCCUGGGGAUUACGGCCGCAAGGUUA